This 504-nucleotide ribosomal RNA is filed under the name uncultured bacterium. RNAcentral's name for it is "partial 16S ribosomal RNA". It matches the Rfam family "Bacterial small subunit ribosomal RNA", at positions 28 to 507 of the family's 1533-position model. The record is from RNAcentral.
GACGAACGCUGGCGGCGUGCUUAACACAUGCAAGUCGAACGGUGAAGCGCUUGCCUUUUUGGUGGGUGUGGAUGAGUGGCGAACGGGUGAGUAACACGUGAGUAACCUGCCCUCUUCUUCUGGAUAACCUCAUGAAAGUGGGGCUAAUACGGGGUAUUCCGGGUCUGUCGCAUGGCGGGUUUGGGAAAGAUUGCGCCUUUGGGGGUUUUCGGUGGGGGAUGGGCUCGCGGCCUAUCAGCUUGUUGGUGGGGGGAUGGCCUACCAAGGCGGUGACGGGUAGCCGGCCUGAGAGGGUGGACGGCCACACUGGGACUGAGACACGGCCCAGACUCCUGCGGGAGGCAGCAGUGGGGAAUAUUGCACAAUGGGCGCAAGCCUGAUGCAGCGACGCCGCGUGAGGGAUGGAGGCCUUCGGGUUGUGAACCUCUUUCGCCAGUGAAGCAGGCCUGCUCCUGUGUGGGUGGGUUGACGGUAGCUGGAUAAGAAGCGCCGGCUAACUACGUG